RNAcentral lists this long non-coding RNA (320 nucleotides) under Mytilus galloprovincialis (Mediterranean mussel). Lineage: Eukaryota; Metazoa; Mollusca; Bivalvia; Mytilida; Mytilidae. The record is from RNAcentral.
CGCGACAGAAAUGGUAUGCAAAGUUCUCUGGUGAUAGUUUAUUGCAAAACUUACUGUAUUGUCCGCGUCCAAUUUAUGUUUCUCUGCUUUGCUUUAAUGAAAACAUAUGCUUGUUAUAUUUCUAGUUUUUUUUUACAAAAAUACAGAGCUCCAAGGAAAAUUUAAAACGGAAAGUCUGUUAUCAAAUGGCGAAGUAAGAGCUCAAUUACAUCAAACGAACGAAAAACAAAUAUCAUAUUCCUGACCUGAUUCCUUGAUGCAUUUCCUUAUGUAGAAAAUGGUGGGUUUAAACACAGUUAUAUGAAUAUUGUUUCUUGUAC